Molecule: ribosomal RNA, 372 nt
Filed under: uncultured organism
Description: bacterial SSU rRNA
Rfam family: Bacterial small subunit ribosomal RNA
Source: RNAcentral
CGGAGGGUGCGAGCGUUGUUCGGAUUUAUUGGGCGUAAAGGGCGUGCAGGCGGUUUCGCAAGUCCGAUGUGAAAGCCCCGGGCUCUACCCGGGAAGUGCAUCGGAAACUGCGAGGCUUGAGUACGGGAGAGGGCAGUGGAAUUCCUGGUGUAGGGGUGAAAUCCGUAGAUAUCAGGAAGAACACCGGCGGCGAAGGCGGCUGCCUGGACCGAUACUGACGCUGAGACGCGAAAGCGUGGGGAGCAAACAGGAUUAGAUACCCUGGUAGUCCACGCCGUAAACGAUGAGCACUAGGUGUUGCGGGUAUUGACCCCUGCAGUGCCGCAGCUAACGCAAUAAGUGCUCCGCCUGGGAAGUACGGUCGCAAGACUA